Molecule: unclassified non-coding RNA, 313 nt
Filed under: plant metagenome
Description: partial contains 5.8S ribosomal RNA, internal transcribed spacer 2, and large subunit ribosomal RNA
Rfam family: 5.8S ribosomal RNA (bases 1-104)
Source: RNAcentral
AAAUGCGAUAAUUAAUGUGAAUUGCAGAAUUCAGUGAAUCAUCGAGUCUUUGAACGCACAUUGCGCCCCCUGGUAUUCCGGGGGGCAUGCCUGUCCGAGCGUCAUUGCUGCCCUCAAGCACGGCUUGUGUGUUGGGCUUCCGUCCCUGGCAACGGGGACGGGCCCAAAAGGCAGUGGCGGCACCAUGUCUGGUCCUCGAGCGUAUGGGGCUUUGUCACCCGCUCCCGUAGGUCCAGCUGGCAGCUAGCCUCGCAACCAAUCUUUUUAACCAGGUUGACCUCGGAUCAGGUAGGGAUAUCCGCUGAACUUAAGC